UGUAAUUACACAUUUUUGGUGCAAACACAAAAAUGUGUAAGAUUACACACUUUUUGAAAGUUUUUACACACAAUGUGUAAAUUACACGCUUAAAAAAGCCCGUGUUUCGGAAUAAGUCUGAAAUAAAAUAA
This is a long non-coding RNA of Bradysia coprophila, 131 nucleotides long. NCBI's taxonomy places the organism in Eukaryota, Metazoa, Arthropoda, Insecta, Diptera, Sciaridae. The record is from RefSeq and is a predicted model, not a curated record.